AAACAUAAUAAUUACAACUUUCAACAACGGAUCUCUUGGUUCUGGCAUCGAUGAAGAACGCAGCGAAAUGCGAUAAGUAGUGUGAAUUGCAGAAUUCAGUGAAUCAUCGAAUCUUUGAACGCACAUUGCGCCCCUUGGUAUUCCAUGGGGCAUGCCUGUUCGAGCGUCAUUUGUACCUUCAAGCUCUGCUUGGUGUUGGGUGUUUGUCUCGCCUCUGCGCGUAGACUCGCCUCAAAACAAUUGGCAGCCGGCGUAUUGAUUUCGGAGCGCAGUACAUCUCGCGCUUUGCACUCAAAACGACGACGUCCAAAAGUACAUUUUUACACUCUUGACCUCGGAUCAGGUAGGGAUACCCGCUGAACUUAAGCAUAUCAAUAAGCGGAGGA
Molecule: ribosomal RNA, 386 nt
Filed under: uncultured Pleosporales
Lineage: Eukaryota; Fungi; Ascomycota; Dothideomycetes; Pleosporales
Description: eukaryotic LSU rRNA
Rfam family: 5.8S ribosomal RNA (bases 16-169)
Source: RNAcentral